GGCGACACCGCGCGGAACCCAAAAGCCGUUCUCAGUUCGGAUCGGAGUCUGCAACCCGACUCCGUGAAGCUGGAUUCGCUAGUAAUCGCGCAUCAGCCAUGGCGCGGUGAAUACGUUCCCGGGCCUUGUACACACCGCCCGUCAAGCCAUGGGAGCCGGGGUGCUUGAAGUGCGUCGCCGCAAGGCGCGCCCUAGAGCAAAACCGGUGACUGGGGCUAAGUCGUAACAAGGUAAC
This 235-nucleotide ribosomal RNA is filed under the name uncultured bacterium. Its description in RNAcentral is "partial 16S ribosomal RNA". It matches the Rfam family "Bacterial small subunit ribosomal RNA", at positions 1256 to 1500 of the family's 1533-position model. The record is from RNAcentral.